GGAACGAUGCGACUUUCCCAAUAAGGCCAAUGUGGGUUUACGGUUCGAUAUGGGAUGCUUCCCAGUGGGCAACAGAGGAUGGAAAUAUAAGGCGGAUUAUCACUACCAGCCAUUCGUGUCCAAGUACCGGGACUUCAAAAUAAGCGGUUGCACGGCGGAGGCGGGGGCAUCUUGCCGGCCAGGCUCCGGCGGGUUGAGCCAACAGCAAUAUAAAGCAAUGGAGUGGGUGCAGAGGAAUUACUUGGUGUAUGAUUACUGCAAUGAUCCAAAGAGAGAUCACACGCAGAUACCUGAAUGUUAAACCCUAACAAGAAU
RNAcentral lists this unclassified non-coding RNA (315 nucleotides) under Hevea brasiliensis (rubber tree). Lineage: Eukaryota; Viridiplantae; Streptophyta; Magnoliopsida; Malpighiales; Euphorbiaceae. The record is from RNAcentral.